AAUCUUGCGCAAUGGGCGAAAGCCUGACGCAGCCAUGCCGUGUGAAUGCUGAAUGUCUUAGGUUUGAAAAAUUCUUCCACCGGGGACGAUAAUGACGGUACCCGGACAAAAAGCUCCUCCUAACUUCGUUCUAGCAGCCGCGGUAAUACGAAGGGGGCUAGCGUUGCUCGGAAUUACUGGGCGUAAAGGGCGCGUAGGCGAACAUUUAAGUCAGGGGUGAAAUCCCAGAGCUCAACUCUGGAACUGCCUUUGAUACUGGGUGUCUUGAGUGUGAGAGAGGUAUGUGGAACUCCGAGUGUAGAGGUGAAAUUCGUAGAUAUUCGGAAGAACACCAGUGGCGAAGGCGACAUACUGGCUCAUUACUGACGCUGAGGCGCGAAAGCGUGGGGAGCAAACA
Molecule: ribosomal RNA, 397 nt
Filed under: uncultured bacterium
Lineage: Bacteria
Description: partial 16S ribosomal RNA
Rfam family: Bacterial small subunit ribosomal RNA
Source: RNAcentral